CAGUCGCCACGGGAAUACGAAGGGGGCUAGCGUUGUUCGGAAUUACUGGGCGUAAAGCGCACGUAGGCGGACAUUUAAGUCAGGGGUGAAAUCCCGGGGCUCAACCCCGGAACUGCCUUUGAUACUGGGUGUCUAGAGUAUGGAAGAGGUGAGUGGAAUUCCGAGUGUAGAGGUGAAAUUCGUAGAUAUUCGGAGGAACACCAGUGGCGAAGGCGGCUCACUGGUCCAUUACUGACGCUGAGGUGCGAAAGCGUGGGGAGCAAACAGGAUUAGAUACCCCUGUAGUCCCUGUCUCUUAUAC
This 301-nucleotide ribosomal RNA is filed under the name uncultured bacterium. RNAcentral's name for it is "partial 16S ribosomal RNA". It matches the Rfam family "Bacterial small subunit ribosomal RNA", at positions 509 to 807 of the family's 1533-position model. The record is from RNAcentral.